UACUCUAAUUUAUAACAUUUCUAUGCAAUGUUACUUGUACAUUUGGCUUUGAUGUUGUUUUAUGUUAUUGUUUGUUGUAAGGUCUGCUUAGGAAGUGGGACAGUGGUUGGUGAAAAAAACCAUGCGUUGAUACCAUGGUGACUCACUUAUCAAUAAGGGUGUGAGUCUCAAAUUUUACCACCACACUCACAAGUUUCUAGAAAUAGAUUGAGAGAGAAUACAUAGAGAGAGAGAGAGAGAAAGUAGCAGGGAGAGGUAACAGACGGCAGUCAGGUGGUUUCAACCUCCGACAACGACAGAGAUAUGGUCGCAUCCUUCACCUCCGACGCCUACAGUCUGAAAUUCGGAAGAUAUUCAAGACUUCGAUUUGUUCGAGCUCUGAGAUACCAAAUUAGAUGGAGACACCAUUUUUGUAGUUAGACUUGCAGUUGCUGGUGUUGCAUCUGCAGGGACGUAUGGAAUCCAAGUUUGGAGUGCAUUUAAGGCUAGACCAGUCACACCUGUAGUUCACAAUUUUUUUCAUGGCAGUUUUCAACCUCAAAAAAAGGAGGAACGGAGUAAGAAGUCUUCAAUUAUGCUACUUCGUACACUGACUCACCGCCACAAUCAAGUAGUAAAUCCUUAAGUAUAACAGGUUUUAACAAGCCGGCUGAAUUUUUUGGCAGCUUGCAGGCGACAUUACCCGGGUCACAUUGCCUCUUGGAAUUUCACCAGCUUGCAAGUAAAAUUUUAUUCGCAACGGGUCAGAUUGCAUAUGGUAGCGUAGAUAUAUUCGCAACAAGUUACUUUUAGUAGUUGUAGCAUAGUGCUAAUAUAUUAUUGUAUAAUACGAGACACAGUUAUUUUGCAACCUGGAAUACUACAGUUAGCAAUCAACAAACUCAUGAAAGGCUUAAACUCAUUUAAGCCUUUAGUAGGCGUCAAGGGAGGUAAGCUCUUUAAUAACAUUAGGAUCUACAUAACACGAACAUAUAUGUUCUGAUUAUACUUUGCAUAUGUUCUCGAGUAACAUUAGACCUUUAUGGCUAUAGAUCUUUCUUUAGUUACGUACUCCCUUGUACGUAACACAUAGCCCAAACUAAUAUCAAUUUCUAAUGCGGCUCUAGCCAUACUGUUUAAAAGGGUUGCUGACAUACAACCACAGAAAUCAGGAUGCAGCCGAUUUCAUCGAGGGCAAGAUACUGAAAACUGGCCAACUGCUGGAUUCAAAGCAAAAUAUUGUUAGGUGAUGUUGGAUCAUGCACAUAAUAUAGGCAAGCCAACUAAGGAGAAAAAGGCCAUAUACGUGGUCUUUUUGUUGGCUAUCCGGAAACUUUGGAAUAGAAGAAAUGAGAAAGUUCAAAGAGUGCUCCUAUGGACGGAUGGGGUCAAAUGUGUUGUUGUAACUUUGUUCAAGUAAUCUUUUGUUUUUUUGUUAUUUUUUAGUCUUGGGGUUUGUUUGUUGGCUUAGCUGCUUGCUAAGUCCAGUUUUUUGUUGUUCGCUACAUACUGAAUUACUAUUUCAGAUAACGCAUUUGUCACGUUAGUUUUUU
Helianthus annuus (common sunflower) is the source of this 1532-nucleotide long non-coding RNA. RefSeq lists it as uncharacterized. Lineage: Eukaryota; Viridiplantae; Streptophyta; Magnoliopsida; Asterales; Asteraceae. The record is from RefSeq and is a predicted model, not a curated record. The transcript has 4 exons.